CCAAACUUGGUCAUUUAGAGGAAGUAAAAGUCGUAACAAGGUUUCCGUAGGUGAACCUGCGGAAGGAUCAUUAAAGAUUCGGGCUUUGGCCCUCCUUUCAGCUGUGCGCUUUGGCUGCACGCUGAUACAAACCUCACACCUGUGCACCUUUACGGUCGCGGCUCUUCUCUUGGAGUCGCUUCCGCUUUACAUCUUACAACAAAAGUUCAGAAUGUCUAAACUAUAAAACAUAACAACUUUCAACAACGGAUCUCUUGGCUCUCGCAUCGAUGAAGAACGCAGC
This 283-nucleotide unclassified non-coding RNA is filed under the name uncultured fungus. RNAcentral's name for it is "partial contains small subunit ribosomal RNA, internal transcribed spacer 1, and 5.8S ribosomal RNA". The stretch from base 1 to 73 matches the Rfam family "Eukaryotic small subunit ribosomal RNA", at positions 1759 to 1831 of the family's 1831-position model. Lineage: Eukaryota; Fungi. The record is from RNAcentral.